GAGAAUUGUUUGAGCAGUUGUGAUAAGUCACGAUGAUUUAGAUGAAGGAAUCUAAUGUCAUUGUUAAGAGAUAUUUUUUUUACUAAGUAGAAGGAUGAAAUGAGAACUUAGAGCUAAAGCUUGAGAGAAUUAGCAAUUGCUUUAAGUACUUGUUGGUUUGAGUUAUGAGUUUGAGUUAUGAGCUUGAGUAUAAUAGCAUGAUUAAUGAUGAGUUAUUAGCAUGCUGCAAUGAGAUAUUGUACGAUAUGUUGAGUUGUUUUGUGACGCGAGUUUUGCUCACGCAACCUUAAUGGUACUUGAAGAGGUAUCAUGAGCCAUAGUCUUUGGAGAUGGCUUUGAGAGAGAAUUGUUGAGUUGUCUUAC
Molecule: long non-coding RNA, 363 nt
Filed under: Salvia miltiorrhiza (redroot sage)
Lineage: Eukaryota; Viridiplantae; Streptophyta; Magnoliopsida; Lamiales; Lamiaceae
Description: long non-coding RNA (SMIL_LNC013628)
Source: RNAcentral